Long non-coding RNA from Drosophila novamexicana, 641 nucleotides. RefSeq lists it as uncharacterized. NCBI's taxonomy places the organism in Eukaryota, Metazoa, Arthropoda, Insecta, Diptera, Drosophilidae. The record is from RefSeq and is a predicted model, not a curated record. The transcript has 3 exons.
AAAUCUCAUUUUAGUUUUUGUCUUGUUUGUGUAUAUUUUUUUUGUUUCGUUAUCUACCUUAUGAAGUGGGACAUGUUACCCAAAAUAUGUGCUCUAUACACCCGAGGCAGUUCUUCCUGAUUUCAAUCUAAGUACUUGCCACAUGCAAAAAUGUAACAGAAGACAAGCUUAGUCAAGGCUUCUUACGUGGAAUACCCAACCAAAAAGUAAACAAAGCGCACACAGCUCGAGAAGUGUCACCCAAAAUGAGCUGUCAGAGCGGAGGGGUGGGGUAUUUAGACGUGGCAUUAGUGAGCGCUCAGCUGAAGAAACAAGACGGAGACGGAGACGGAAAAGGAGAGGAAACUAUGCACAACAGAUGCUAGUUCAGAUGCAUGCACAGUGGAGCAAAUUUGAUAAGCUAGGAGUUCAGUAUCUUUAGCUGCCAGUGGCAGCUAUGGCCUUCGACAAGGACAUGGGCUGGGCUUUAAAGUCAGCUCCUCGCUGUUCAAUUACUACUUGGGCAUAUUUAUAUAAAGGUCACUAAAAAAGAAUGAAGGGCUUAGAAAGUCUGUAUGUUGGGUUUUAAUUCGAAGUUCGGUGUUCCAUAAGCCAAAAAAAAGCCACGUGGACCAUAAUAAUAUACAUCAUACUCAACAGAU